GUGCUCGCUUCAGCAGCACAUAUACUAAAAUUGGAACGAUACAGAGAUUAGCAUGGUCCCUGUGCAAGGAUGACAUGCAAAUUUGUGAAACAUUAUAUAUAUAA
Molecule: small nuclear RNA, 104 nt
Organism: Pipistrellus kuhlii (Kuhl's pipistrelle)
Lineage: Eukaryota; Metazoa; Chordata; Mammalia; Chiroptera; Vespertilionidae
Source: RefSeq, a predicted model, not a curated record